CCUACGGGAGGUUGCAGUAAGGAAUAUUGGUCAAUGGAGGAAACUCUGAACCAGCCAUCCCGCGUGAAGGAUGAAGGGGCUCUGCCUUGUAAACUUCUUUUGUCUGGGGCGAAAAAGCUCGAUUUAUCGAGAACUGACGGUACCAGAAGAAUAAGCACCGGCUAACUCCGUGCCAGCAGCCGCGGUAAUACGGAGGGUGCAGGCGUUACCCGGAUUCACUGGGGUGUAAGCGGGCUAAGACGGCUGUGGUGAAAGGCUGUGGCUUAACCAUGGAAUUGCCAUUGAUACUGCAGGGCUUGAGUGAGGUUGAGGUUGGCGGAAUGUGACAUGUAGCGGUGAAAUGCUUAGAUAUGUCAUGGAACACCGAUUGCGAAGGCAGCUGACUGGACCUAUAUUGACGCUGAGGCACGAAAGCGUGGGGAGCGAACAGGAUUAGAUACCCUUGUAGUC
This 450-nucleotide ribosomal RNA is filed under the name uncultured bacterium. RNAcentral describes it as "partial 16S ribosomal RNA". It matches the Rfam family "Bacterial small subunit ribosomal RNA", at positions 338 to 795 of the family's 1533-position model. The record is from RNAcentral.